ACAUUUCAGGUCAUGUGGCUUCAAACCAGGAAGUUGUUCUCCUGCCUUGCAGAGGUGUUUUGUCUUCACCUGUGGUUUUAUCUUCUGGCUUCUAUCUGCAAACACUUCUAUACCAGAUAUGUCCUGACCUUUUGCCCGAGAGUUCAAACGACCCGACUGAAACUUACGAGCGAGCUCUGGACCAAGCCGGAGGAGGAGGAGGAGGAGGAGGAAGAGGAGCGUGAGAGUAAAAGAAUGGAGGCUGAAUCCUGAGGGGGGACGUCGGAGAAGAGGAAACGGGAAAAACAGUGUGACAUCCCUGCAGGUGAAGACUUCUUCACACUGAUGGACAAGAGGACUCUCCAGUGUACCUGUAGACGUUGAUGGGCUCGGGGUUGGAGCUCCACACUCGAAGGCUUUCUUGGAUGACCUGCUGGAUUUUGGGGAGUGUGUCAACAAAAUAAUGGAAACGCUUCGUGAAUCCAUGAAAAAGACUCUGAAGUAAACACAGCUGCAAAGAAGCCAGACGAUAUGCAAACCAGAAACCAGGAAGUGAUGGUGGGAGUCAAAGCCUUGCGGCCAUGCACAGG
Molecule: long non-coding RNA, 569 nt
Organism: Lates calcarifer (barramundi perch)
Lineage: Eukaryota; Metazoa; Chordata; Actinopteri; Centropomidae
Exons: 6
Source: RefSeq, a predicted model, not a curated record